Long non-coding RNA from Equus caballus (horse), 1565 nucleotides. NCBI's taxonomy places the organism in Eukaryota, Metazoa, Chordata, Mammalia, Perissodactyla, Equidae. The record is from Ensembl.
GUGAGGAAAGAGGAGCCCAGGGCAACACAUGUACCUUGGGGUGAUUUCAGAGGAGGAAGGUGGUCAUCCUUAGAGGGCUUCAGCCAGAAGCUCCUCUCAGGAUUUGGGGUGAACCCUGAAAGACUUAAUCAUUCUCAAAUGAGACCCGGAUGCAGCAGUGACUGGCCCAGAGAGAACCACUGAACUGGGCCUCCUGGGGCUAAGAGGUUGACGAUUAAAGAAAAGGUCUUCUUGUCAGAAACCGGCUAAGCAGAACUUAGUACUUGGUGGGCGUCAGUCACGAAAGAGGUCAAGCACAAGUCGAGCAAAGGGCUUCUUCACUGAGGCCUUGUGAUGCACUUCCGCUGUGCUAGGCUUACCGUUCCAUCCGGGCUUCACCGCAAGCCCGUGUGUGUGUGUGUAUGUCUAUGCAUAUGGAUAUAGUUAACAUGUCUAUCCUCUCAUAUAGAUACAAAAAAAAGAAAAGAACAAUCUCUCCUUGUGAUGAGAACUCUUAGAAUUUACUCUCUUAACUUCCCUAUAAAUCCUACAGCAGUGGCCGCUAUAGUCAUCAUGUUGUGCAUUACGUCCCUAGUAUUUAUUUAUCAAAUAACUGGAAGUUUGUGCCUUUUGACCACUUUCCUCUAUUUCCCUUUCCCUCCACCCCUGCCUCAGGUAAACACAAAUCUGAUUUCUUUUUCUACGAAUUUGGUAAUUUUUCUUUUAGGUUCUAUGUAUAAAUGAGAUCAUACAGUAUUUGUUUUUCUCUGUCUGACUGAUUUCACUGAGCAGAAUGCUUUCGAGGUCCAUUCAAGCGGUCUAAAAUGGUAUGAUUUCCUGGUUUUUUAUGGCUGUAAUAUUCCAUCGUAUGUACGUACCACAACUUCUUUACCGACUCAUCCACCAGCGGGCACUUAGGUUGUUUCCACGUCUUGGCUGUUGUGAGCAAUGCUGCUGUGAACAUGGGGUGGCAGAUAUCUUUCUGAAUUAGGGUUCUUGUUUCUUUGGAUAUAUUCCCAGAAGUAGGAUUGCUGGAUGAUAUGAUAAUUAUAUUUUUAAUUUUUUGAGGAAACUCCAUACUGUUUUCCAUAGCAGCCUCAUCAGUUUACAAUCCCACCAACAGUGCACAAGGGUUCCCUUUUCUCCACUUCGGUACCAGCAUUUGUUAGCUGUUGUCUUUUUGAUGAUGACCUUUCUAGCCAUCCAUAUAUCCUCUUUGGAAAAAUGUCUAUUCAGGUCCUGUGUCCAUUUUUUUAAAUUGAAUUAUCCUUUUUUUUGCUAUUGAGUUGUAUGAGUUCUUUAUAUAUUUUGGAUAUUAACCCCUUUUCAGAUAUAUGGUUUGCAAAUAUUUUUACCUAUUCCAUAAGUUGUCUUUUCACUUUGUUGAUGGUUUCAGUCACUAUGCAGAAGCUUUUUAGUUUGAUGUGGUCCCACUUGUUUAUUUUUGAUUUUGUUGCGUGUGCUUUAGGUGUCAUAUCCAAAAAGUCGUUACCAAGAUCAAUGUCAAAGAGGUUUUUUCCUAUGUUUUCUUCUAGGAGUUUCAUGGUUUCAGGUCUUAUGUUUAAGUCUUUAAAUUAUUUUGAGUC